Molecule: long non-coding RNA, 601 nt
Organism: Bos taurus (domestic cattle)
Lineage: Eukaryota; Metazoa; Chordata; Mammalia; Artiodactyla; Bovidae
Source: Ensembl
CGUGGGGCAAGGCCCCCUCACCGGGCAAGUUCAUGCUCUCCCCCCUCACGUGGCCCCAGGCUCUCAGUCUUGGGCUGUGCUGCCGGCCGCUGUUCCGGGCCAGCCCAUCAUCACGGGCAAUGGACCUCAGAUUCCGUCUCUCGUCCCUGGGGCUGAUCACAAAGGGCCCCUCCUCGGGUUCCUGCCUGCUUUCUCCUCCCCAGUUUUGGCUUCCCUGCUCUGCCUUCUGCUUUGCCCAAGGUUUCUCUGCGUUCCUCAUUGAACAGGAAUCUCACGGUAAUGAAGCCCAAGAACAAUGUGUUACCUGACAUGCUUUGUGUGGGGUGUGAUGGAAAAUGGAAGAUGAAGAAGAUGAGCAAAAGUGGAGAUAAAAGAACAUUGGAGUCACUAGAGAGAAUCUUCCGGGCUUCUUUGAGUCCAACAGAGACAGUCUUUUCUCACAAAAACCAGAGAGGUAUAACCUCUCUCCCUCCCAGGAUAGUUGCAGAAAUUAUCUCAAAGAAAGCCCCAUCACAAAAGAAACCACACUGGAUGUGAGAGUUGGACUGAGAAGAAGGCUGAGCACCAAAGAAUUGAUGCCUUUGAACUGUGGUGUUGGAGA